RNAcentral lists this ribosomal RNA (118 nucleotides) under Leontynka pallida. Lineage: Eukaryota; Viridiplantae; Chlorophyta; Chlorophyceae; Chlamydomonadales. The record is from RNAcentral.
UUGGUGCUCCAUGCUUAGUUGGACCCACUCCAAUCCCAUCCCGAACUUGGAAGUGAAAAAGCUAAGGGAACUUCAAAACUUUAAGCGAUUGCUUCUGGGAAUGAAGUUCUAGUGCCAG